RNAcentral lists this ribosomal RNA (1293 nucleotides) under Triticum aestivum (bread wheat). RNAcentral's name for it is "partial small subunit ribosomal RNA". The record is from RNAcentral. Lineage: Eukaryota; Viridiplantae; Streptophyta; Magnoliopsida; Poales; Poaceae.
AUGGCGCAUUUCCAGGGCCAGCAGCACGGCCACCCGGCCACCCGCGUCGACGAGUACGGCAACCCUGUGCCGGCCGGCCACGGCGUCACCGGGACCGAAGGCUUGGGGCACUUCCCGGGCCAGGCCCAGCAGCACGGCCACAACACCACCCGCCUCGACGAGUACGGCAACCCGGUGACGGCCGGCCACGGCGUUGGGCUGGGAUCCACCGGCACUGGAGUGCACGGCGGGUACGGGUCUGCCGGCACCGGCACCCACGACACUGGCGGCCACGGCCGCCAGGUGGGAUACGGUGCCACUGGCACGGGCACCCACGACGCUGGGGGGUUUGGAGGCUCUGGAAUUGCCCCUCGGCACGACACCACCGGCACUGGGCUUCACGACGCCGGUGGGUUGGGCACGCGGCAUGCCGCCACCGGUACCCACGGCACAGGCCAGACCGCCGGGCUCGGCGGCACAGGCACAGGGAUGACCGGGACCCAUGGCGCAGGCCACACCGCCGGGCUCGGCGGCACAGGCACAGGGAUGACCGGGACCCAUGGCGCAGGCCACACCGCCGGGCUCGGCGGCACCGGCACAGGGAUGACCGGGACCCAUGGCACGGGCCACACCGCCGGGCUCGGCGGCACCGGCACAGGGAUCACCGGGACCCAUGGCACAGGCCACACCGCCGGGUAUGACGCCACCGGUACUCAUGGCACAGGGCACACGGCCGGGUACGGGGCGACCGGCACUGGGAUCACUGGAACCCACGGCGCCGCUGGCACACACCCUCAUGGCGGGGUAGCCGAGCAAAAGACUCGUGGCAUCCUCCACCGCUCUGGCAGCUCCAGCUCCAGCUCGUCAUCCUCCGAGGACGACGGGAUGGGCGGUAGGAGGAAGAAAGGCAUGAAGCAGAAGAUCAAAGAGAAGCUCCCCGGCGGUAACAAGGAGCAGACCACGGCCGCCGGCGGCUACGGGCCAGGGUACACGGGGACGACUGGCACUGGUGGGCCAGGGUACACGGGGACCACCGGCACUGGCGGGGCCUACGGAGCCACUGAGGGGACGCAUGAGAAGAAGGGCGUCAUGGAGAAGAUCAAGCAGAAGCUCCCUGGCGGGCACAAGGACACCCAGCCGCACACCACGGCUACCGGCGGCUACGGACCUGGCACCACUGGUACCACUGGCACCGGCGGCUAUGGUACUGGCACCACCGGCACCGCGGGGACGCACGGCGCCACUGAGGGCACCCACGAGAAGAAAGGCAUGAUGGAGAAGAUCAAGGAGAAGCUCCCCGGCGGCCACCACUGA